Molecule: ribosomal RNA, 276 nt
Filed under: uncultured bacterium
Lineage: Bacteria
Description: partial 16S ribosomal RNA
Rfam family: Bacterial small subunit ribosomal RNA
Source: RNAcentral
AUACCCGGGUAGUCCACGCCGUAAACGAUGAACACUUGGUGUUGAUGGAUUUGACCCCAUUAGUGCCGUAGCUAACGCGUUAAGUGUUCCGCCUGGGGAGUACGGUCGCAAGAUUAAAACUCAAAGAAAUUGACGGGGGCCCGCACAAGCGGUGGAGCAUGUGGUUUAAUUCGAUGAUACGCGAAAAACCUUACCUGGGUUUGACAUCUAGAGGAAGAUACUUAGAAAUAAGGUCGCCUUCGGGCCUCUAGACAGGUGCUGCAUGGCCGCCGUCAG